Molecule: long non-coding RNA, 305 nt
Organism: Nematostella vectensis (starlet sea anemone)
Lineage: Eukaryota; Metazoa; Cnidaria; Anthozoa; Actiniaria; Edwardsiidae
Exons: 2
Source: RefSeq, a predicted model, not a curated record
UGGCACAGAACACUUCCAAAAUAUUCCCGUACAAUAACAUAGCCAUUCAUUGUAUUCAUCCGCCAUAUUUUGCCAAUUUUGUAAACCAAACCGCAACCUAGUUAAUAAAUACCCGGAUGUACAAUAACCGGAACCGGAAACAGCGAUAUCUAUUUUCAUCUAAUACUCGUAUAACCACGAGCGCAAUCCCCUCAUAACCCCUCACUUCGCUGCAUACGGAAUACCUCCAAGACACCAAUCUAAGCUCCGCCAAUACACAUCUCGGACCAAGCCAUGCACUCAGCCGGAGCCAGGCGCUACACAGG